This 465-nucleotide ribosomal RNA is filed under the name uncultured bacterium. RNAcentral's name for it is "partial 16S ribosomal RNA". It matches the Rfam family "Bacterial small subunit ribosomal RNA", at positions 28 to 507 of the family's 1533-position model. The record is from RNAcentral.
GACGAACGCUGGCGGCGUGCUUAACACAUGCAAGUCGAACGGAAAGGCCCCUUCGGGGGUACUCGAGUGGCGCACGGGUGAGUAACACGUGAGUAACCUGCCCUUGACUUCGGGAUAACUUCAGGAAACUGGGGCUAAUACCGGAUAGGAAUCCUUGCUGCAUGGUGGGGGUUGGAAAGCUUCGGCGGUUUUGGAUGGACUCGCGGCUUAUCAGCUUGUUGGUGGGGUAGUGGCUUACCAAGGCUUUGACGGGUAGCCGGCCUGAGAGGGCGACCGGCCACAUUGGGACUGAGAUACGGCCCAGACUCCUACGGGAGGCAGCAGUGGGGAAUAUUGCACAAUGGGCGGAAGCCUGAUGCAGCAACGCCGCGUGCGGGAUGACGGCCUUCGGGUUGGAAACCGCUUUCAGCAGGGGCGAAGCUUGUGGUGACGGUACCUGCAGAAGAAGCACCGGCUAACUACGUG